GAUGAACGCUAGCGGCAGGCCUAAUACAUGCAAGUCGAACGGGAUCUGAGGGUAGCUUGCUACCCGAUUUGAGAGUGGCGCACGGGUGCGUAACGCGUGAGCAACCUACCCAUAUCAAGGGGAUAGCCCGAAGAAAUUCGGAUUAACACCGCAUAAUAAUACGCUAACACAUGUUGAUGUAUUUAAAUAUUUAUAGGAUAUGGAUGGGCUCGCGUGACAUUAGGUAGUUGGUAAGGUAACGGCUUACCAAGGCGACGAUGUCUAGGGGCUCUGAGAGGAGAAUCCCCCACACUGGUACUGGGACACGGACCAGACUCCUACGGGAGGCAGCAGUAAGGAAUAUUGGUCAAUGGGCGCAAGCCUGAACCAGCCAUGCCGCGUGCAGGGUGACUGCCCUAUGGGUUGUAAACUGCUUUUGUUAGGGAAUAAACCUUCUUACGUGUAAGGAGCUGAAUGUACCUAAAGAAUAAGGAUCGGCUAACUCCGUGCCAGCCGCCGCAGUAA
RNAcentral lists this ribosomal RNA (504 nucleotides) under uncultured bacterium. RNAcentral's name for it is "partial 16S ribosomal RNA". It matches the Rfam family "Bacterial small subunit ribosomal RNA", at positions 28 to 523 of the family's 1533-position model. The record is from RNAcentral.